GGACCUGACUGCUAUCGGAUUGGUACUAAGCCAUGCGAGUCAUUGUAGUAAUACAAGGCAGACGGCUCAGUAGCGCGUAGUCAACCUAACCUAUGGACGGGAAUAACCUCGGGAAACUGAGUAUAAUGCCCGAUAGAACAUUAUGCCUGGAAUGGUUUAUGUUCCAAAUGAUAUUUCGCCGUAGGGAUGGGACUGCGGCCUAUCAGUUUGUUGGUGAGGUAAUGGCCCACCAAGACUAUUACAGGUACGGGCUCUGAGAGGAGUAGCCCGGAGAUGGGUACUGAGACACGGACCCAGGCCCUAUGGGGCGGCAGCCGGCGAGAAAACUUUGCAAUGUGCGAAAGCACGACAAGGUUAAUCCGAGUGGUUUCUGCUAAAGGAACCUUUUGUCGGUCCUAGAAACACCGAUGAAUAAGGGGUGGGCAAGUUCUGGUGU
Molecule: ribosomal RNA, 436 nt
Filed under: uncultured archaeon
Lineage: Archaea
Description: bacterial SSU rRNA
Rfam family: Archaeal small subunit ribosomal RNA
Source: RNAcentral